RNAcentral lists this long non-coding RNA (10812 nucleotides) under Marmota monax (woodchuck). Lineage: Eukaryota; Metazoa; Chordata; Mammalia; Rodentia; Sciuridae. The record is from RNAcentral.
GCGCGGCGAGCCCUGCGCGGUCCGCGGGGCCCCGUGCGGUCCCCCGGCGCGGGCCCCCGGCGCGCGGGCGAGAGCGGCGGCCUGUCCCCGCCGAGCGCGCUCCUUCGCGUCCCCCGGGACGUGCACUUUCUGGGCGACCGCCCGCCGCUCGCGCGGAGCCCCCGCAGUGCGCUGCGGAGGCCGGAGCUGCGCGGAGGCCCGGGCCCUUGGGCCACCGGGGAGCGUCCCUGUCCCCGCAGGCUUGUUCCCGCCUCGCUUCUCGGAACGCGCGCCUCUGGUUGCCUUGUCCCCUGCCAGAUCCCAAGCCUAGAACCCCGUGGACGAAGUCCUUGUGCGUGGACGCCCUUGCCUCUGAGUGCUCGGAGGAGUCCUUGCUGGCGACUCCGUGGCCCACAUAACCAGCGACCCAGAAAGCGCGCACUCCUCAAAAAGACUCUGGGUUUGGAUUUUCGUUGGCAACUUAAGAAAUAAUGACUUUGGCAUUUAUUAAAACAGUAGGAAGGACUUCAUUCAGAGAGAAAUGGUAUGCAACACGGAAUACAGCACCGGAGGCUGGAGCUUUAUAGUCAAUGAGUAGAACAAGGGAGUGUGUGGGGUCAGUAGGUGGGAAUCACCAGGUCGUCCAAGGGGGAUUUUUUGCUAAACCGAUUGAACAGGAUUGUUGCUGAAGGCAGGCCAGUGUGGCGGGAGGUGAGGUAUUUGGUCAGAGAUGACGGGUGAUCGACCCCAAGAUGGGGAUGCUUUCUGAAUCAGCUUUGCAGGAUUCUUCCUAAAGCUAGGCUGGUCAGUGAGAAGGUUGGGACGGGGGUCAAGGAGUGAAGCCAGAAUUUGACAGCUGUCGGUAUAGACAGAUAAAAGACUGCUCCCUGAGGGAGUGAAAUCCCUUGAGAGCCCUUCCUCCUCUCUUCCUCCUCCUCCAUCCCCUGCUCCAACCUGUUGCUAAGGUAAUCAGUGUGUGUGUGUGGGGGAAUGUCCCUCCCUACCUUGAGUUGUAAAAGUCGUUAAUUAAUAUGUCCUGGGCCUGCCCUUCCCCCCUUCCCCCUUCAGCCCACCUGUUUCCCACGUUUUGGCCACCCCACGGAGGUCACCUAUGUAGGAAGGAGAAAGAGAAAGGGAAGAGAGCUGGAGAACAAAGGAAGCCUAAGACAUCAAAAAGGCGGAACACCUUCCUGGGUACCAGGACACCAGCUAUGGCCCUUCUCCCUCCUGGGAGAGGUCUGUUGCCCUUAUUAAAUAAACCUGCUUCAUAGGCUUCCUCAGCUGCUUCUCUAAUGCUAGACUUCAACAUGUGGGGAAGCAGGAGUACAUCUUUGUCACUUUUAGGAAUAUUCUGAGACCUGCCUACCUUCUGGAAAUGUUACAAAAUUGGGACCUUCUGGGAAACUGGGGGAGCAUGAAGAUCGCCCCCCCCCCCCAUUCCAACCCAGUUCUUAAAUCAGAAGGAUUUCAAAAUGUCAGAGUAACAGGCAUGAGUUUAUUGAAGGGACAGGAAAAGGGAGUGGGGACACACUCAAGGGGGAGAGUGGGUCCUUCCUCUCAGAAAAGAAGGAACAAGGAGCUUCUUCACUCCAUUUUUAUUGGGGAUCCCAGAGAAAUAUCCAGAGAUUCCUGCCCAGGUCCACCUCUUGACUUUUUUUAAAAUUUUAUUUUAAUUUUUUAGUUGUAGAUGGACAUAAUACCUUUAUUUUAUGUACUUAUUUUUAUGUGGUGCUGAGGAUCAAACCCAGUGCCUUACAUUUGCUAGGCAACAAAUGAGCCACAACCCCAGCCCCUCCUCUUGACUUUUGACUGACAGUAGGAUGGCAUCACACUUUCAAGUCCCCACUGCCAUGACUAACUCUGGGUCACCUUGGCCUAUGCUGACCAUGGUCAGCAUGGUUUAUGAUUCUUAACCAUAAAUUUUUACAGAUUUUAUGAUUAAGAGGAAUUAUCUUUAUCUCCCUAAGUUUUGGGAUCUGGUCCAUAAAAAGGGUCACUGAAGUGUCCACCUUCAGGCUAACUUGUAUUCCUCUUAUGGACAUUAUCUUCAUUUCUCCUGCAGAUAACGGGUAGUUUGCUGAGGAAUGUGACAUCUGUCCACUUAGGCUAGGCAGGGGUGCAGGUAAAUUGCUUCUUGGAAAAGAAAGCAUGUGGGGGUUACACAGUGGGCCCAUUUUACAGAAUUGCUCCCUUAAUCUCAUGUCUAUCUCAAGUCUAUGCGCUAUCAGGAAGAUCUUUUAAAUCUUCACAUUUUUGUUUAUAUGUGGAUUUAGGAGAGGCUCCUGCGGAGGCUUGCUCUCAAUCCAUAAACUAUAGAAUAAACUGCAUCAGACACAUCUUCCAAGUGGUGUAACUGCUGCCGCCCAGGCCAGAGAAGGCCUAAUGGUUGGCUGGAGACUUCAGGUAUUGGGAGAAGAGGUUAGGAUUUGUAUAGGUUUAAAUGAAUAUUUCCUUUUUUGUGUGUAGUUUUAGUAUUUUUUUUGAGCAGGUGCAACAGCUUAACUCAAUGUUCCCAUCUUUUCUGAGGAAACAGAAAUGUUUCAAACGGAAAAGCGGGAAGGGCAUCAGGAAGGGGAACUGUUGGGGAUGAGGUCUGCGCCUCAACUUCUUUAAAAGCUCAACUUCUGAGAAAGGUUCUGAUGUAAUCAGAGGACAACAUGGUGUUAGGAUUUCAGUCCCUGAGAGCCUGCAUGUCCUUUGACCAGGUGCCCCUGGGAAGACCUGUGGCCCACAGCCCCCUGGUCUCAGCACCUGUCUCAGGACCCUUCUUCCACAGGUGUAUACUUUGCUAAGCAGACUUACUCUGGGAGCAAAGUGCUGGUGUAGGCCCAGCACACUGCAGACCUCAUCAAGUGGUUUUGUGAAUCUCGUCACUUCUCUGCUUGGAUUCCUCCAUCUGCUGAAAGAGUUGAGCUGCCUACCCUCCAAGGUCCCCCCACUCUUACUCAGCAGUGCAUCUUCUUAGGCGUCAUCUCUGAUCUGGAAUGACAGAAGCAAGGCUUUGAGACAGUGCACGGCUUUAUGAGUCAACAGGAUGGGUUUCUGGUGGCAGGUGGUUGACAACGUCAGCAGAACACCUGCAUAAUCAACAUGACAGUCCUUCAGUGACCUACUGUCUGACCUCAUCCUUUCUCCUAGUGAAUUACUGCAGGACACCAGGAGUUCCAAAGAGCUCCAGGUCCCACACAAUACUCCUUUUGAACUCCUGUGUCCUCUGGCAAACACACAUUCCGACUUCCAGGGCAGAGCUCUGGGGCUUCGGUGCACGUUCCUCCAUGUUCGAGGCCGGUGGUAGAUUCUGCAGCCUCCACAGGCUCUGUCCCUGCAGCAGUGUUAUCCACCACGUCCUUGCCGAGGCAGCCUGUGCAGAAAGUACUUGGCUGGCCACGUGAGGUCCUUUGGCCAGUGGAGUGUGGGUGGAAGUAGCUGUGUGGUCCAGGACGUCCUGAGAGUUUCAUGUGUCCACCUGCACCUCUCGAGCUUUGGACCUUGGCCAUGGCAAAAAGCUUGGAGGGUAGUCAUGGCCUUUGUCCUUGGGGCCAGAAUGAGACACCUGUGAUGAGCUGCCUUGGUCAAUGUGAAGGCAGUGACCAUGAGGAGGGGUCAUUGCUGUUUUAAGCCACUGCAGGAUGGCAUAGCAUUUUUCUGGCCUUAGCUAAUUGAGACAGGGACAAAGGGCUUAGACUAAAGUGUUUCAGUGUUGACCCUUAUGAGGAUGCUCAUUUCAUGGCAGGUAUCCUUAGGUGUGUGGACAGGAGGUGCUGGAUGGGGAGGGAAGGAGGGGAGGAACAGAUGGGGAAAGAGUCAUUGCUGACCGUGUCCUCAUCCCUGGAAUUCUGGCACUUCAGAGGGGAGGAAAAUGUGAAUUUAAUAAAACUGCAAGAUAUUUUGGGAGAUCUUAUGGUGGCAGGAUGGAAAGGGAAGCCCUGCUCUGGUAUUUCUUAGGGCUUAGCAGUUCCGGGGGAGGAGGCUUGUGGUUAGAGCACACCAGAAGGUUCAGGAGCUCCAACUGUUUUAAGUCUCCACCUCAACCCAGGGCCUUGUAGUUUUUUCAUCUACCAAGGACAAAGGGAAAAGAGAAACAGGUAGCCUUGUUCUUGGCUCUGCAGGGGCACAUAUCUCUUCUGCUCAUGUUUUGAUGGUUAGGAUCAGUUACAUCCACACUAUAAGGACACUGCCUGUCGGACAGUUGUUUUCUAGUGACGGUUCCAUACAUGGAAAGGGGGACAGGCUGAAUUUUUCCUGCCACAAGGGUGCUCUUCUCAACGAUUUAAACAUCUCCACUCUUCUGUCACUCUGCUUGCAAGGUUUCUGAAGAGAUGUGCUGCCCCCGUCACUCGUGUGAAUUUCCAGGGACACCAAAUAAAACACAGACACCACUUUACCUUUAAACAAUCUUCAGGGCGACUUCUCUGCUCUGGGCCUCAGGCUCCCCGUGGGAGAGCAAGGGAAAGUCACGAGAGGCUGGCGCGAGAGCGAGCGCCUUCGGAAGUGGGCUUUCAUUGGGGGGACCCUUGUCUUAGAAAGUUCCAUCUAAAAAAGUCCAGAAGGAGCAGGCUUACAAGGUCGGGUGAGUGUAAUUCAGCCGGAGGGGCGUCGCCGACACCUGAAGACACUUCUGUGAUGUACUUUUUGGAAUUUCCUCACUGUUUUGCUUUCCCAUUUGGAAGUUUCUGUUGACAUACUUCAGCUACGGAGGUGCAGUCAGUCGAUGGUGUGGAAAGUUCUCCACUGCUGUGACAGUGUUCGAGACUGUCCCUGAGACCCCCUCUCGGGACAUCACCACCUCUUCUUGCGUGGGGCUCCCUCUUGCCGCAGGAGCCCUGAGCACACCACUCAUGGCUACUUCAACUCUCAGACUUGAUGACCCCAGAUCCUGCCAGGUCUGAGUCUAGUUCUGAUACUUGUCUUUUCUCUCCAGCUGCGUUUCUUGCCUUUGAUUUUUUGCCAUUUCUCAGGUGAGGUGCCCAGGUCACCUGUUGGGCAGGAGCUGGCUGCUGGCUGUAGCUCUGGGGCCAGGGCUAGAGCUCCCUCGGUUGCCUCCCUCUGCUCUGGCCCCUCUCCCGCCAUUGUCUUCGAUGUCUAGAGACUCUCUUUUUUUAAGUGUGUUUUUUCCUCCCCUUUUUUAUUGGUGCGUUAUAGUCAUGCGUAACGUUGGGAUUUGAUGUCACACAUCGGUACAUGCACACAAUAUGACAAUUUGACCAAAAAAGACCCUUCCUUAAGUCAGGCUUGCAGUUCUUUGAGAGGCAAGUCCCUGUGACUACACAGGAGCCUGAUGACAGGCCACUAAGGUUUCAGAGAGGGAAGACGUCUGUAGUCCUGUGAGUAGGUCCCAGUCCUAGUGGGCUUGUGACCCUGGGCUGUGGCCUUCACAGGAGCCUCUCACCCUCCUCCUGUUCCCCGUAAGUGGGCCAGGAUGAGGGCUGGAGUGGCUUUUUUCCCUUCCCCACUGAAAGGCUGUGGAAGGCCCAGGCUGGGACUCCCCUUGAGGGUGGCCUUUACUGAAGAUUGCUCUGGGCAUCUUUCUGACCGACCCUGUCUCUUUCCUGUUGGGAGAGGCCUGAGGGGAUUUUUUUCUGAUCUUUACCCUGAGAACCUGGAGGGGUUCCUGGAGGAAGAACUCAGGACAGUUGGGGUGCUCUUCCCAGUGUUCCCUGGACUGCUCCCCCCUCUGGUGUCAGCUGAGGUACUACUGGGAGGUGACUGGACUUUGGGGGCAGGGUCGGGUUGGAGAGGGUGGGUCCCUGGGGAUGUGGCCUGGAAGGUACUCCUUGUCCUGACCCUGGCUCUCCUGCUUUCCUUUCUGCUUCCUGGUCACCAGGAGCCAGCCUUGCUCUGCCACGCACCCCUCCACAGGCUCUGGCUCACCACAGGCCCAGACACAAGAGUCGAGUGACGGGGAUGGAACUCAGGGACCAUGGGCCAAGCCAGCAUUUCCUCCUUGAGCUUGACCUCUCUCCGGUAGCUUGCCACAGAGAUGGAGAGCCCACCAGCGCAGGCCCCUGGAGUUCUGGUGUCCAGCCGGUCCACGCUCAGGCCUCAGAGCUUCGCCCUGUAGGGUCCCGCGUGGCUGGGCUCCCAGUGGGCUGCAGUUGUGACCCGUGCAGCUCCUCUCGGGGCGGGGGGAGUCCUUUUGUCCUGCAGCCUCCGUUCCUGGUGGGCCUGAGGCCUGCCCGUUCUCAGAGUCUGGCCUUUGGAGGAUGGGGGCAGUGAUUUUCCCGGCCCUCCCCAUCAGAGCAUGGGGCGCUUCACAGCGAAGUUGUCAGAAGAGCAGAGGUGACCUCUGGCUUCCCGGCCUCCUGCUGGCUGGCUGCCUGCAGAACACCCUGGGGUUGAGCUGUCCACGGAGGCUCCUCCCUCCACGCAGUUCACGCCGUGCAGAGGAAAGGGCAGUGGGUUCUUGAGCAGAGAUGUCUUUCCAGCAGCAGGAUCUGCUUUGAGACUCAAAAUAAGUCCUCUGCUUCGCUUUGGGUCACAUUUGUGUAGAGUGUCAUUUUCUGUCCUUUGCUUUCAGUCAAGAUGAAGUGAGUUUCUCAUAAGCAACAUAUAGUUGAGUCUUUUUUAAAAAUAUUUUAUUUACAUUUUAGUUAUCGGCAGACACAGUAUCUUUGUUUGUAUGUGGUGCUGAGGAUCGAACCCGGGCCGCACCCAUGCCAGGGGAGCGCGCUACUGCUUGAGCCACAUCCCCAGCCCCUAUAGUUGAGUCUUAUGUUUAAAAAAUCUAUUCAUCACUGUGUCUUUUAAUUUGGAGAAUUAAUACAUUUAUAUUUAAGGUAAUUAUUGAUAGGUAAUGUAUCAUUACUGCCAUUUUAUUACUGUUUUCUAGUGUUUUUAUAGUUCCUUCCUUUCUUUAUCCAUCUCAUAUAGUGUUAUUUUGUGGCUGAAUGAUUUCUAUAGUAGUGUAUUUUGGUUCUUUGCUUAUUGUUUUUGGUGUAUUAUUUGGUUUUUAAAUUGUGGUUACUAUGAGGCUUACAAGGAACAUCUUUGAUCCUAGCAAUCAAUUUUAAAAUAGUAGCAACAUUGAUCGUAAGGAUAGAAAAAGAAAGAAAUCUUUGCAUUUGCACUCCAUUCCUCCUGACAUUUUAGACUGUUUUGUUUGCCUUUUGCAAGGCUGGGGAUCGAACCCAGGGCUUCAUGCAUGCUAAGCAAAAGCUCCACCAAUGAGCCACAUCCCCAGGUCCCUGUGUGUUAUUUAUUUAUUUGUAUUAGGGAUUGAACCCAGGGAUGCUCCACCACUGAGCUGCAUCCCCAAGACAGGCUCUCACUUAGUUGCUUAAGGUCUUAUUAAUUUUCUGAGACUGGUCUUGAACUUGCCAUCCUCCUGCCUCAGCCUCUUGAGUCACUGGGAUUACAGGCAUGUGCCACCGCGCCUGGCCAUGUCUUCUAAACAGCACAAAGUCCUUCUCCUUGAAGAGCUUUAUCAAUGUAACCAGAGACAGCUCAGAAUGGAGGUUUUCUGCUGAAAUCUCAUUUGAAGGUGCCAGACAGGUCUGGACCUUCUUCAGCCUGUGGGUGGACUGCAUUCGCUCACAACUUGGUUCUUGAUAAACACAGUAACGUGCAGAUCUCCUGCAAACACCUGGCAAGACGGCUUUGCUUUCGGAAAGCCCACCUGAUCAUGGAAUCUUCCUAGUGCUAUGAUUUGUUCCAGGUUACGUUGACACUUGAGAAGGGAAACGUGAACCCUUGUUCGCAGUCUUUCAUCACGAGUCCUCUUAUUGACAGCAUUAGCUCUCCAGCUGUCCUUCCUAGUGAGGAGGCUCACUGUACUCCACGUGGAGCUGAAAGCUUGAAGAUGUCCACUUUCAUCUUGGAGUUGGUGUCAACCUUCUUAUUUUCUGCCAAAUGGUGAGGCCCCACGUUUAACCCUGUGGCACAAGUCUUCUUGAACAAUACCUGACUGAUUUGUGGCUUGUUCUUUAUGGACUCCUUCAGCCUCGUCGGGGGCAGGAAGUAGCUGGGGUAUAAGGCAGCGCUGAUCAGGGAGAUAAAGCCCCAGAAAACGAGCCCAGCAGGCAGCUGCCAGGAAGUGGCAACAGGUGGGCAGCUUCCCUGACCCCGGAGGGCUCCGCUUUCUGGCUGGCCCGAGAGUGACGUCCCACUGCCCAUAAGGCUCUCGAAGCUUGUUGGUAUACAGUGAUGUAUGUGUGUUGUAGGAUUAGGUGUUGAUUCCAGUCUUUGCAAUCAGGCUUUGCACCUGUCCUGGAAAUGUGGCUCAGGCUGUUUCUUAUUUUCUCUGAGCCUGUGGCUACUGCUGCUAUUUCAGCACUAGAUGGCACCUUAAGACCAGGUUUCCUUGAUUCUGCAGCCUGUGUGUUAACACAAGUUCAGCACUAGAUGGCACCCAAGCCCAUGUUUGUUGAAAACCUACAUGUAACCUGCAAAAAGUUAAAGUGAUUCCCUAUAUUCAAUUAGAGUUUUUUUUUAAAGAAAUGAUGUCCAAUUAUAAAAAAAUUGUGACUUUAUUUUCAAUCCAAAAAUCAGAAGAAUGCCUAAUAUUAAGUUACAAGAGGAGCAUAGCUAAACAAUUAGACAGCUUAUUUGAAACCAAGAUUUCCAAUUGUGAAUGAUGCUCAGCCUAAGACUACAGACUCUUCUAAUUUAAUUACUAAUAUUUUGUUUAAGGCAAUUUUUGCAUUAAGGCAUGUGUAAUUUGCUCUCAUGCUCAGAAAUUCAUGUAAGUGGGGAAAUGGGUGUGCUGCUAACUAAUUCUGUUAGACCCCAGAGGUUUGUGGCUCUUGUAGGAGCCUGAGGCUCCACCCAUGAUGGUUUGGAUCUGUGUUCUCCUCACUGUCAAUGAGUGCAAACUACCAAAGCCAAAGGAAGGAACUAUAUCUCAUAUAACCUAUGCUUCAAAGUGGAUGUGAUUAUUUCCAUUUUACUGAAAGGAAAAUGAGACUUAAAAAGAUGAAAGAGCAUUUCCAUGCAUUCCAUGUCAGGACUGAGUUUAUUCAUUUCCAAAGACAGUUUUUUUUUCUUUAUUGAAAAUGGCACCCCAUUGCUUCCACCUGGGGUGGAAGAUGAUCAGAUCAGAUCAGAUGGUCAGUAAAUCCUCCUGGCUUCCUUAACACACACAGGCUGUUGAACCUUGCCUGGCGGGGGGAGCACAGUGCACCUGGGUGUUGCCCUCCUCAGUCCCUGGCGCUUUCCUGUCCCCUCGAUGGUGACCCUGGCAAGAUUCAGAGAGUCUUGACUAUUAAGAGCAUGGUCACUUGUCACCUUAUUUGAUCCUUGCAAUAAUCCUAAGACGUUGGCAGGACUGCUACUAUUUUUGCUAUUUGUUAUAGACGAGAAAACUGAGGUCAGGUGGACUGAGUGUCUUUCUUAUGAUAACACCAAAUAGAAAGCAGAGGAGGAACUAAAUCCAGGCGCCCAGCCCCACCAAGGCACCCCUUCUAUUGUUGGUGUUUAUUCUUGAUUUUCAGUGAAUUUUCUUACCUUUUCCAGGUCUUGUCAAUCUGUGUAGGUGCUGGGCAUUGCAUGUAAAGGAUGGAAGAGACUGAGCAGGUGCUGUCCUUCCCCAGGAGGGUCUCGCUUUCGCCAGGCACAGGCAUGGGGAGGGGCUGAUUUCUGUUCCAACGGGAAGGAACCAAGUCAGAGCUGGGCUGUAGAAUCUGCUAGACCAGCCAACUCUGGUUUCAGUUGCCCUGAGGAUGACACUCCUUGCCGUCCUCUCCCUCUGGCAGGGCGCUGUCUCUCAAGCCACAGGAGGCCAUGAGGUCUCACCUCCCACCUAGGGUCCCAUGCGACUGCAGAACUGGGCAUGUGACAUGGGCUUCCUCACUGAGACUCCUCUGGACUCUCGUGCCAUGCUAGCAGGUGUCUCCAGGGAAGAAAAAGCCUGAUGAUUUCUGUUCAGCUAAAGAACCCUCCAACUCUGAAGUUUUAGUUCUUGGUCCUGUUUCUGAGCUCUUCAGUGUCUUUAACACCAAUACUUCAGCGAGGUGCCUGUGCUUCCCAGCUGCUGAGGUGGAGCUGGAGAGCUGCUGCUGCCUGGACGUCCCACCUGGAGGCAGUUCUCGCACUGACUUUGAAAAGAGCCACUAAGCACUAACCGAGAGUGGCUGACUCUGUACGGCCCCUGCACACAACAGAAUAUGUUAGAAUAUGUUUGUGGGCUUGGGGGGCUGAGGCAGGAGGACCAUGAGUUCAAAGCUAGCCUCAGCAACUUAGUGAGACCCUAAAUAACUUAUCAAGACCUUGUCUCAAAAUAAAAUAUAAAAAAAGGUCUGAGGAUGUGGCUCAGUGGUUAAGUGCCCCUGGUUUCAAUCCUUGGUACAAAAAAAAAAAAAAAAAAGAAUAUGUUUGUGCAUGUUCAGGAAUAAGCAAUCCUUAGUUUGAUGCUGUAGAUCUUUAAAAACCAUAAUACUUUAUGUAUAUAACAUCAUUCACUAUUUGCAACAUAUUAUAUGAUAAAUAAUGUAUUUAUGUAUUCAUAAUUAUGUAUCAUUAAAUAUGUAAUUUCAGUACUGUGUGUGAUGUUUCACAUAUAUCAGUACAUAUAUGAGCAUGAUGUGUAAAUGGUCACGUGUCGUGAUGAACGUGGUCAUGUAUGCACUGGUCAUCUGUGUGGACCUGGAGACCAUGCCUUGGAAGCCCCUGCAUAUGUAUCUUCAUUCUAAUAAUGAGAAUUAUCUGUCAGAUUGUUAAAAUCCCCCAAAUAGAAUGUGGAUUUGUUAGAGUCUGUAAACAAGUCAAAAUAACACCUGGCAUUUUGCCAGGGGAAUGUUAGAGUUCGUAAACAAGUCUGGAUGGUGCCUGGCAAAAUGCCAGAGGGAGUGGUUUGAGAAGUAACAAAAGCAAGCCAUUAAGUGUGGAGAUUCCUGAUUG